AACGAACGCUGGCGGCAUGCUUAACACAUGCAAGUCGAACGUGAAAGUGGACUUCGGUCCGCGAGUAAAGUGGCGCACGGGUGAGUAACACGUGGAUAAUCUACCCGAUGAUCUGGAAUAACACUUCGAAAGGGGUGCUAAUACCGGAUAAGCCCACGACGUCCUCGGACGGCGCGGGAAAAGGGGCGUUCGGCUCCUGUCAUCGGAUGAGUCCGCGGCCCAUUAGCUAGUUGGUAGGGUAAUGGCCUACCAAGGCGACGAUGGGUAGCUGGUCUGAGAGGAUGAUCCGCCACACUGGCACUGGAACACGGGCCAGACUCCUACGGGUGGCUG
This 333-nucleotide ribosomal RNA is filed under the name uncultured Pseudomonadota bacterium. RNAcentral's name for it is "bacterial SSU rRNA". It matches the Rfam family "Bacterial small subunit ribosomal RNA", at positions 29 to 351 of the family's 1533-position model. Lineage: Bacteria; Pseudomonadati; Pseudomonadota. The record is from RNAcentral.